Molecule: ribosomal RNA, 772 nt
Filed under: uncultured prokaryote
Description: bacterial SSU rRNA
Rfam family: Bacterial small subunit ribosomal RNA
Source: RNAcentral
GAUGGACGCUGACAGAAUGCUUAACACAUGCAAGUCGAUUCGAUUUACCUUCGGGUAUUGAGGAUGGCGGACGGGUGAGUAACGCGUAAGGAACUUGCCUCUUGGUCUGGGACAACUGUUGGAAACGACAGCUAAUACCGGAUAUUAUGAGAUUCUCGCAUGGGAAACUUAUGAAAGCUAUAUGCGCCAAGAGAGAGCCUUGCGUUCCAUUAGCUAGUUGGUGGGGUAACGGCCCACCAAGGCGACGAUGGAUAGCCGGCCUGAGAGGGUGAACGGCCACAAGGGGACUGAGACACGGCCCUUACUCCUACGGGAGGCAGCAGUGGGGAAUAUUGGACAAUGGGCCACAAGCCUGAUCCAGCAAUUCUGUGUGCACGAUGAAGGUCUUCGGAUUGUAAAGUGCUUUCAGUUGGGAAGAAGAAAGUGACGGUACCAACAGAAGAAGCGACGGCUAAAUACGUGCCAGCAGCCGCGGUAAUACGUAUGUCGCAAGCGUUAUCCGGAUUUAUUGGGCGUAAAGCGCGUCUAGGCGGAAAAAUAAGUCUGAUGUUAAAAUGCGGGGCUCAACUCCGUAUUGCGUUGGAAACUGUUUUUCUAGAGUACUGGAGAGGUGGGCGGAACUACAAGUGUAGAGGUGAAAUUCGUAGAUAUUUGUAGGAAUGCCGAUGGAGAAGUCAGCUCACUGGACAGAUACUGACGCUAAAGCGCGAAAGCNUGGGGAGCAAACAGGAUUAGAUACCCUGGUAGUCCACGCCGUAAACGAUGAUCACUA